RNAcentral lists this ribosomal RNA (654 nucleotides) under uncultured fungus. Its description in RNAcentral is "eukaryotic LSU rRNA". It matches the Rfam family "Eukaryotic large subunit ribosomal RNA", at positions 1 to 624 of the family's 3401-position model. The record is from RNAcentral. Lineage: Eukaryota; Fungi.
UUGACCUCAAAUCAGGUAGGACUACCCGCUGAACUUAAGCAUAUCAAUAAGCGGAGGAAAAGAAACUAACAAGGAUUCCCCUAGUAACUGCGAGUGAAGCGGGAAAAGCUCAAAUUUAAAAUCUGGCGGUCCUCGCGGCCGUCCGAGUUGUAAUCUGGAGAAGCGUUUUCCGCGUCGGACCGUGUACAAGUCUUCUGGAAUGGAGCGUCGUAGAGGGUGAGAAUCCCGUCUCUGACACGGACCGCCGAUGCUUUUGUGAUACGCUCUCGAAGAGUCGAGUUGUUUGGGAAUGCAGCUCAAAACGGGUGGUAAAUUCCAUCUAAAGCUAAAUAUUGGCGAGAGACCGAUAGCGAACAAGUACCGUGAGGGAAAGAUGAAAAGCACUUUGGAAAGAGAGUUAAACAGUACGUGAAAUUGUUGAAAGGGAAACGUUUGAAGUCAGUCGCGUCGGCCGAGACUCAACCCUGCGAUCUCGCUCGGUGCACUUCUCGGUCGACGGGUCAGCAUCAAUUUCGACCGUCGGAUAAAGGCCGAGGGAAUGUGGCAUCCUUCGGGGUGUGUUAUAGCCUUCGGUUCGGAUACGACGAUUGGGAUUGAGGAACUCAGCACGCCUUCAUCGGUCGGGGCUUCGGCUCACGUUAACGUGCUUAGGAU